AUCGCUUCUCGGCCUUUUGGCUAAGAUCAAGUGUAGUAUCUGUUCUUAUCAGUUUAAUAUCUGAUACGUCCCCUACCCGGGGACCAUAUAUUAAAUAGACUUUUGGAACAGGGAGAUGGAAUAGGGGCUUGCUCCGUCCACUCCACGCAUCGACCUGGUAUUGCAGUAUCUCCAGGAACGGUGCACUCCCU
This 191-nucleotide small nuclear RNA is filed under the name Echeneis naucrates (live sharksucker). RNAcentral describes it as "U2 spliceosomal RNA (ENSENLG00000000197.1)". It matches the Rfam family "U2 spliceosomal RNA". Rfam says of the family: U2 is a small nuclear RNA (snRNA) component of the spliceosome (involved in pre-mRNA splicing). Complementary binding between U2 snRNA (in an area lying towards the 5' end but 3' to hairpin I) and the branchpoint sequence (BPS) of the intron results the bulging out of an unpaired adenosine, on the BPS, which initiates a nucleophilic attack at the intronic 5' splice site, thus starting the first of two transesterification reactions that mediate splicing. Lineage: Eukaryota; Metazoa; Chordata; Actinopteri; Carangiformes; Echeneidae. The record is from Rfam by way of RNAcentral.